CGUUUACAGUCAGUGAGGAAGGUGGAUAGUGUUAAUAGCAUAUUCAUUUGACGUUUAGCUGCAGAAGAAGCACCGGCUAACUCCGUGCCAGCAACCGCGGUAAUACGGAGGGUGCGAGCGUUAAUCGGAAUUACUGGGCGUAAAGCGCAUGCAGGUGGUUUGUUAAGUCUAGAUGUGAAAGCCCGGGGCUCAACCUCGGAAUUGCAUUUGAAAACUGGCAAACUAGAGUACUGUAGAGGGGGUAGAAUUUCAGGUGUAGCGGUGAAAUGCGUAGAGAUCUGAAGGAAUACCGGUGGCGAAGGCGGCCCCCUGGACAGAUACUGACACUCAGAUGCGAAAGCGUGGGGAGCAAACAGGAUUAGAUACCCUGGUAG
RNAcentral lists this ribosomal RNA (374 nucleotides) under uncultured bacterium. Its description in RNAcentral is "bacterial SSU rRNA". It matches the Rfam family "Bacterial small subunit ribosomal RNA", at positions 431 to 793 of the family's 1533-position model. The record is from RNAcentral.